RNAcentral lists this ribosomal RNA (250 nucleotides) under uncultured prokaryote. RNAcentral describes it as "partial 16S ribosomal RNA". It matches the Rfam family "Bacterial small subunit ribosomal RNA", at positions 524 to 773 of the family's 1533-position model. The record is from RNAcentral.
UACGUAGGUGGCAAGCGUUGUCCGGAUUUACUGGGUGUAAAGGGCGUGCAGCCGGGAGUGCAAGUCAGAUGUGAAAUGCAGGGGCUCAACCCCUGAACUGCAUUUGAAACUGUGCUUUUUGAGUACCGGAGGGGCAAUCGGAAUUCCUAGUGUAGGGGUGAAAUGCGUAGAUAUUAGGAGGAACACCAGUGGCGAAGGCGGAUUGCUGGACGGCAACUGACGGUGAGGCGCGAAAGUGUGGGGAGCAAAC